RNAcentral lists this ribosomal RNA (397 nucleotides) under uncultured bacterium. RNAcentral's name for it is "bacterial SSU rRNA". It matches the Rfam family "Bacterial small subunit ribosomal RNA", at positions 355 to 769 of the family's 1533-position model. The record is from RNAcentral.
UCGGGAAUUUUGGGCAAUGGGCGAAAGCCUGACCCAGCAACGCCGCGUGAGGGAUGAAGUAUUUCGGUAUGUAAACCUCGAAAGAAUGGGAAGAAUAAAUGACGGUACCAUUUAUAAGCUCCGGCUAACUACGUGCCAGCAGCCGCGGUAAUACGUAGGGAGCAAGCGUUGUUCGGAUUUACUGGGCGUAAAGGGCGCGUAGGCGGCGCGGUAAGUCACUUGUGAAAUCUCUGAGCUUAACUCAGAACGGCCAAGUGAUACUGCUGUGCUAGAGUGCGGAAGAGGCAACCGGAAUUCUUGGUGUAGCGGUGAAAUGCGUAGAUAUCAAGAGGAACACCUGAGGCGAAGGCGGGUUGCUGGGCCGACACUGACGCUGAUGCGCGAAAGCCAGGGGAGC